UCCUGGGCUCAAGUGACCCUCUUGCCUCAGCCUCCCUAAAUGCUGAGAUUACAGGAGUGAGCCCUUGGGCCCUACCCUAAUAUAUUCUUAAAUGGAGUGCCUAAUACCUUUGCUUUAGAUAUAAGUACAAAGUUAAUAUCUUAGUAUAAAGUUAGUCAUACAUAAUCCAAUAACAACAUCUUGGGAUUCCUACUAGAAUGUAGGUUCUACAAAGGCUGAGACUAUGCCUACUGUAUCCCAAAUGCCUCAGUGUAUUUGACCCACAGUAAGGUAGUCAAUAAAUACUGGUUGAAUGUAUUGGCCAAACAAGAAUUGAGUUUCUACCAUAGGAUCAAUCAUUCACACAAAUAAUUAAAUAUCUUCUAUAUGCAACUCUGUGGAAAUAUUGAGAGAAACUCUACAUGGGUCCAACACACAGAAGGAGAGGAAGCACGCAGAUAAAUUUCAAAUGAAGUUAAAAAAGUGUCAUGAGAAAUGCAAAACAUUCUGGAAUUGUGAAAAAAUAGUUUUAUUUGAUAUUGAUUCAUCUGGAGUAUGUAAAGAUUAAAAAAGCAGUUUGGGGUCAGAGUGUGGAUAAUUAGUCUAAUUAUAUUAGACUAAUAAUCUGGGCUGUACUCUGCAAGCAUGGAGAGCCAUCCAGGACACUGAGCUGUGGGAGAUUCAUGAGACAGAGACAAGAAGGGAUGAAUGGAUCAGGGGAGAGGGGAGAAGAGGGGACUUUACUUAAAAAGCUGGAAGUGGAGGCCUGAAAUGAAAAGGAAAGGGGACAUUGAGUAUGCCGUGUCAAAGAAUCUAUAACAUGACCAGGUUUUCGUUUUCGGGGGGUUGGGAGGUGGCAAAGAGAAGAAUGCUGAGGACGGUGCUAGGUUUAGAGGCAGAAGGACUGAGAAGAUGGUGGGGCUGAGAACAGACAUAGGAAACUUGAGAAAAAGGGCCAUCUUAGGAAGAACAAUGACCUCAGCUUUGGAAACACUGAGUAGAAAUAGAGUCAUCUAGCCAGCAGGAUGGGAAUGAGGGAGGUCAGGGUUAGAGACACAGAUGUAGGCUUUGAGGAAUGAAGUAAAGGUAUGAUACUGCCAGGGAAGAAGUCAUGGAAAGAGAAGUACAGAGAUGAUCCUUAGGGAAACUUUACAUCUAAGGGCCAAGAAAACAAUGAUGAUACGCCAGCAGGAGAAGCAGGAGAAAACAGGGUCAUGGAAAUCAAGGAAAGACAGUUUAAGAAAGGCUGGCCCGGUUAACAGGAAGCAGAUGGUAGCCUGCUACAGAGUGGUUGAUUUCAGUGAUUUCUUCUCACAUCUGCAACUGGAAUUGUACUUUCAACACGGGUCAUCCAUCAGAGCACACAGAAAUACCUCUCUUGCCUUUUGACUCUGUAAAACUGGGAAUUAUUUUUUUUCAGCAAGGAUACCCAACACUCCACAUACUUAUUAAUAAAUAAUAUUCAUCCUGAUUAUUAAACUGCUUUUUUCUAAAACACUAGCGAAGGAUGAAUCUAUUUGUGUGAAUAGUACAGUGACAUUGCAUGGGGCUUUCCUAUUCCCAACACACCUUAUCUUAUGGGCUAUCUCCUGGGCUAUGGUGUUAUGGUGUUAUCUCAUGGGCUCCUCGCAGUGACCCUGUGACACAGGGUUGGUACUUUUUUGUGUUACAGAUGAGAAAAUGGAAGCUCAAGGAUGGGUGACUUUUCUAAGACUACAGGUAGUAAGUGGUAACACAGAUGCAGAACUGAGUCUCUAUCUCUACAAACAUCAAGACUAUUGACUCAGUCACCACCGUAACUACAGAUAUGUCAAUACUUACCUGGCAAAGCAAUUUGAAGCCCCUAAAGGAUCGAUGACCUUUGGUUCGAAUUAGUGAGUUUUAAUGAGUUUAAAAUAAUGAUAGAUACAAUAUGACUCAAUUCAACACUUGGGUAGAGAUGGACCACCACAUUCUGAACCAUGUUCAGCUUGGAAGCUUGACUAUCGGGAAGGAAGGGCACACCUGCCUAGCCUGCUGAAUCAAACAUAGAGAUCAAUGAAACCUACAGUGUUUGUUACUGUACACUGAAUCACAUGGAAUGUGAUUGCUAGAACUUUAAAAGAACCCUUUGAAAGAACCAAAAGGCCUUUUAAUAGGUGAAUGGUUAAACUGUGGUAUAUCCAUACCCUGGAAUAUUAUUCAGCAAUUAAAAAGAACACUAUUACACUAUUGAUACAUGUAACAACCUGGAUGGACAUCAAUGCUGAACAAGAAAAACCAGUCUUAAAGGUCACAUACUAUAUGAUUCCAUUUGUAUAACAUUUUCAAAAUGACAAAAUUAUACAGAUGGAAAACAGAUCAAGAUUGUCAAAGGGUAGAGAGGAAGGUCAUUGUGAUUAAACAGGCUAGAAUGAGGGAGAUCUUUGUGUGAUGGAAUAGUUCUGUUACCUUCAUUGCAGUGGUGGUUAUGGCACAGAUGGUUAGGCACAGUGGCCCAUGCCCGUAAUCCCAGCACUUUGGGAAGCUGACAGACAUGGUAACUGACUUGGAGGACAUAAAGCUACAUCAAAAUCCACUUCCCAAGCUGACAGCAGGGGAGAACUAAGAGCAAUCCAGAUUAACACUGUAGAGCCUUAAAAAUCAUAGGAAUCCCUGGAGCAGCAUGCACCUCUUUGAUUGGGGUAAGGUGAAUGAAGAGGAAGAGAGCACCAAAAUACGGAGGACUAAGGGAAGAAGGUUGUUUGAAACUAAGAUUCCUAGAUCACAUGUCUCUCUACCUCCGCUUUUCCCCUUUCCCCAUAAACCCUAAUGGCUGUCCUUCCCCCUCCCUAGCAGAAGUCUGCUUUUCUGGAAAUAAAAUCAUCUGUGCAAAGGAAGUCAAUAUUAGGCACAGCUGAAGACAUGGGCACUACAGGAAAAACAGGUAGGUAUACAUAUAUGUAUAUAGUUAAUUCUCAUUAUUUGUAGUCAUGUUCUAUGAAGUUACUGCAAGCACUGAAUUAGCAAAUACUGAAACAUUCGUCCUAGAGGAAAUAGAGGGUUAGGUUCCUGUGAGUAUCUGGUCACAUUUGUGUCAAUGGAUCAAUACAAAAACUUGUGUUAUGUGCGUGUCUAUGUAAAGACACCUUAUUUAAUAUGUAUUGUUGAUUCAAUGACAUUGAACUCAUGCCUGAAUGAAGGUUGGCUAACACACAUUAUUUUCUCCUCAAGCACAUCAUAACCUUGCAUAGAACACUAAAUGGCACUUCAGCACUAUGCUUGGCAGCCAUUUUAAGCUGUGAAAUUGCCAAAGAAAAAGCACAAAAAUGCAAAAAAUAUGACAUUAAAUAGUCCACAAGAAGCACACUUGUUUAUAGUAUGAGUGCUGAAACAAGGCAGCAGAACAUCACCUUGUUCAACCUUAGUAGGGAAAACGUGUGUCAGAAGACUCAACAUUACCACUAUGUGCAUGUAUGCCAAUGACUGUAAAUGUGCCACAUGUAUUGAUGUUGGUCUUGUAAGUACAUUUUUAGUGAGAUGAGUUUGCAAAUAGGGAAUCCAUAAAUAAUGAUGUUCAACUAUAUAUGCAUGCGUGUCUCUAUAUACAUGUAUAUGUGUACAUAUAUACGAUCUAGUGAAUAAUCUCAUGGAUAGUGAUACUGAAAGCAGAGAAUACCACCAUGCCCAUCUUCCUCUACUUUGCUUAUAGAACUCUACCUGGAAGAUCCUUAUCUUCAAGGCAGAAUGAAACUUCCCUGGGAAUCUAACCAUUUUGUGAUGAAAUAUCUAAAGAUACCAAUAUUGGGAGAUUCCCAAACAGCUCACCCAGAUGACCUUACGGUAAAGCUCAGUCAUCAAAUGCUACUUACUCAUUCACAAUUUCUAGUGAAUUUUUCCUCCAACCUUAAUCAUGAGCAGACAGGAAUUUCCAAAGAUCUAAGGAAAGCCUCUAAUAUGUAAGUCCAAACAGACAAAAAAGCAAUUUAAAGGAAAAUUAAAGCUCUUGGAAAUGAAAAGAAGUCUUAUAAAAGAAAUGAAAAACUCAAUAGAAGGUUGGAAGAUAAAAUUAGGGAAAUCUCCCAGAAAGAGUAAAAUGGCGGGAAAAUGGGAAAGAAACAUGAGUGAAUUAGAAUACCAGUCCAGAUAGUUCUGCUCCAAAUAACACAAGUUCAAGAGGGAAAAAGGAGAAAAUACAAUGAAGCAAAUACAUUUUUAACAGUUUCUAGAAGUGAAGGACAUCAGGCUCCUGGUUGAAAGGACCCAGUACAAUGGAUAAAACUAGAUCUACAACAAACAUCAUUGUGAAGUUUCAGAACACUGAAGAUAGAGAUUCUACAGACUUCCAGAGAAAAGACCAAUUACAUACAAACUAUCAGGAAUCAGAAUGGCUUCAGAUUCCCAAACAGCAAAAUUGGAAAUGGAAAUUAAUGGAGAAAAUCUAUUAAGCUUCUGAGGUAAAAUAAUCUGCAGCUAGAAUUCUAUACCCAGUCAAGCUACCAAUCCAACUGGGAGUAGAAUACAUUUCUAAACAUCCAAGUUCUCAAAAAGUUUACAUCCCACAUAUCCCAUCUUGUGAAUUGCUGGAGGAUGUGAUCUGCAAAAAUACAGCAAGACCAACCCCUACUCCUACUACUCAAUGUGAUGAAGAUGAGGAUGAAGAACUUUAUGAUGAUCCACUUCUACUUAAUGAACACCAGAUGCCAUGUAAAAAGAAUGUGACUGCUCUCAGGAAACCAUACUGUGAGGAACCCAAGGUACAAGGAAAAGCCAUGGAGGAUCAGAUGCCACGUGGAUAGAGGGGGUGAGAUCAAAGAGGAACAAGGCACAAGCAGUUAGUGAAGAAGCCAUCUUGGAAGUGGACUGGUCGAACCCCAGCACGUCAUCUGAUGUCACAUGGAUCAGAAGCAAACCUCUGAGCUGAGUACUUCCCAAAUUCCUCACUCAUAGGAUUGUGAGUAAAAUAAAUAGUUGUUUUAAGCCACUAAGUUUUGGGGUGUUUUGUUAUAAAGCAGUUGGUAACCUGAACACUAUUUCAAGCCUUUUAUCUUACAAAUGAUAAUACGAAGGCCUAGAGAGCCUCCUGAGUUGCUAGAUCUCAAACGGGCACUGAGUGACAAAGAUGACGCUCAUACCUGGGCCUUCUUACUUCAAGUCCUACACUUUAGUCAAAUGAGCUUCACAGCUACGUCAUAGAGAAAACUGCCUCAGAUCUUCAUGUUGCAUGUGCUGGUUUAUAAUUAGAAAUGAUGAGUCAAUGACAUGAAUGAUGUAGCAAUGAAAGUGAUGUGAAAUUGUAGGGACUAGUUGUAUGAAAAAAUAAAUCAGAAAGAUAUGACUACAGGCAAUUAAAGAAAUGCAAUACUCAUUUAAAAAAUUUACCGA
This is a non-coding RNA of Microcebus murinus (gray mouse lemur), 5322 nucleotides long. The record is from RefSeq and is a predicted model, not a curated record. NCBI's taxonomy places the organism in Eukaryota, Metazoa, Chordata, Mammalia, Primates, Cheirogaleidae.